This 497-nucleotide ribosomal RNA is filed under the name uncultured bacterium. Its description in RNAcentral is "partial 16S ribosomal RNA". It matches the Rfam family "Bacterial small subunit ribosomal RNA", at positions 28 to 507 of the family's 1533-position model. The record is from RNAcentral.
GAUGAACGCUGGCGGCGUGCCUAAUACAUGCAAGUCGAGCGAACAGACGAGGAGCUUGCUCCUCUGACGUUAGCGGCGGACGGGUGAGUAACACGUGGAUAACCUACCUAUAAGACUGGGAUAACUUCGGGAAACCGGAGCUAAUACCGGAUAAUAUAUUGAACCGCAUGGUUCAAUAGUGAAAGACGGUUUUGCUGUCACUUAUAGAUGGAUCCGCGCCGCAUUAGCUAGUUGGUAAGGUAACGGCUUACCAAGGCAACGAUGCGUAGCCGACCUGAGAGGGUGAUCGGCCACACUGGAACUGAGACACGGUCCAGACUCCUACGGGGGGCAGCAGUAGGGAAUCUUCCGCAAUGGGCGAAAGCCUGACGGAGCAACGCCGCGUGAGUGAUGAAGGUCUUCGGAUCGUAAAACUCUGUUAUUAGGGAAGAACAAAUGUGUAAGUAACCAUGCACGUCUUGACGGUACCUAAUCAGAAAGCCACGGCUAACUACGUG